CAGAGGUGGCAAGCGUUGUUCGGAAUUACUGGGCGUAAAGGGCGCGUAGGCGGCCUUCUAAGUCAGACGUGAAAUCCCCCGGCUUAACCUGGGAACUGCGUCUGAUACUGGAAGGCUUGAAUGCGGGAGAGGGAUGUAGAAUUCCAGGUGUAGCGGUGAAAUGCGUAGAUAUCUGGAGGAAUACCGGUGGCGAAGGCGGCAUCCUGGACCGACAUUGACGCUGAGGCGCGAAAGCUAGGGUAGCAAACGGGAUUAGAUACCCCGGUAGUCCUAGCCCUAAACGAUGAGUGCUUGGUGUGGCGGGUAUCGAUCCCUGCCGUGCCGAAGCUAACGCAUUAAGCACUCCGCCUGGGGAGUACGGUCGCAAGGCUG
Molecule: ribosomal RNA, 372 nt
Filed under: uncultured organism
Description: bacterial SSU rRNA
Rfam family: Bacterial small subunit ribosomal RNA
Source: RNAcentral